Molecule: ribosomal RNA, 914 nt
Filed under: uncultured archaeon
Lineage: Archaea
Description: bacterial SSU rRNA
Rfam family: Archaeal small subunit ribosomal RNA
Source: RNAcentral
UUCCGGUUGAUCCCGCCGGACCUGACUGCUAUCGGAUUGAUACUAAGCCAUGCGAGUCAUUGUAGUAAUACAAGGCAGACGGCUCAGUAACACGUAGUCAAUCUACCCUAUGGACGGGGAUAACCUCGGGAAACUGAGAAUAAUACCCGAUAGAUCAUUAUGCCUGGAACGGUUUAUGGUCCAAAUGAUUUAUUGCCGUAGGAUGGGACUGCGACCUAUCAGUUUGUUGGUGAGGUAAUGGCCCACCAAGACUAUUACAGGUACGGGCUCUGAGAGGAGUAGCCCGGAGACGGGUACUGAGACACGGACCCAGGCCCUAUGGGGCGCAGCAGGCGAGAAAACUUUGCAAUGUGCGAAAGCACGACAAGGUUAAUCCGAGUGUUUCCUGCUAAAGGAAUCUUUUGUCAGUCCUAAAAACACUGAUGAAUGAGGGGUGGGCAAGUUCUGGUGUCAGCCGCCGCGGUAAAACCAGCACCUCAAGUGGUCAGGAGGAUUAUUGGGCCUAAAGCAUCCGUAGCCGGCUGUGUUAGUUUUCGGUUAAAUCCUUACACUCAAUGUAUGGGCCGCCGGGAAUACUGCACAGCUAGGGAGUGGGAGAGGUAGACGGUACUCGGUAGGAAGUGGUAAAAUGCUUUGAUCUAUUGAUGACCACCUGUGGCGAAGGCGGUCUACCAGAGCACGUUCGACGGUGAGGGAUGAAAGCCGGGGGAGCAAACCGGAUUAGAUACCCGGGUAGUCCCAGCUGUAAACUAUGCAAACUCAGUGAUGCACUGGCUUGUGGCCAGUGCAGUGCUGCAGGGAAGCCGUUAAGUUUGCCGCCUGGGAAGUACGUACGCAAGUAUGAAACUUAAAGGAAUUGGCGGGGGAGCACCACAAGGGGUGAAGCCUGCGGUUCAAUUGGAGUCAACGCCGGG